RNAcentral lists this ribosomal RNA (475 nucleotides) under uncultured bacterium. RNAcentral's name for it is "partial 16S ribosomal RNA". It matches the Rfam family "Bacterial small subunit ribosomal RNA", at positions 28 to 507 of the family's 1533-position model. The record is from RNAcentral.
GACGAACGCUGGCGGCGUGCUUAACACAUGCAAGUCGAACGGAAAGGCCUGCUUUCCCUUGUGACUUGCGGGUACUCGAGUGGCGAACGGCUGAGUAACACGUGAGUGAUCUGCCCCCAACUUGGGUAUAAGCCUGGGACACUGGGUCUAAUUCCCGAUAGCACUGAAGGGUGGUGCCUGUGGUGGAAAACGAUUUUCUAGUGGUUGUGGAGGAGCUCGCGGCCGAUCAGCUUGUUGGUGAGGUAAAGGCCCACCAAGGCGACGACGAGUAGCCGGCCAGAGAGGAUGAUCAGCCACAGUGGGACUGAGACACGGCCCAAACUCCUACGGGAGGCAGCGGUGGGGAAUCUUGCGAAAGGGGCGAAAGCCUGACGCAGCCAUGCCGCGUGAAUGAUGAAGGUCUUAGGAUUGUAAAAUUCUUUCACCGGGGACGAUAAUGACGGUACCCGGAGAAGAAGCCCCGGCUAACUUCGUG